GACGAACGCUGGCGGCGUGCUUAACACAUGCAAGUCGAACGGAAAGGCCCUGCUUUUGUGGGGUGCUCGAGUGGCGAACGGGUGAGUAACACGUGAGUAACCUGCCCUUGACUUUGGGAUAACUUCAGGAAACUGGGGCAAUUACCGGAUAGGAGCUCCGGCUGAAGGGGGGGGGUGGGAAAGUUUCGGCGGUUGGGGAGGGACUCGCGGCUUAUCAGCUUGUGGGUGGGGUAGUGGCUUACCAAGGCUUUGACGGGUAGCCGGCCUGAGAGGGUGACCGGCCACAUUGGGACUGAGAUACGGCCCAGACUCCUACGGGAGGCAGCAGUGGGGAAUAUUGCACAAUGGGCGGAAGCCUGAUGCAGCAACGCCGCGUGCGGGAUGACGGCCUUCGGGUUGUAAACCGCUUUCGCCUGUGACGAAGCGUGAGUGACGGUAAUGGGUAAAGAAGCACCGGCUAACUACGUG
Molecule: ribosomal RNA, 468 nt
Filed under: uncultured bacterium
Lineage: Bacteria
Description: partial 16S ribosomal RNA
Rfam family: Bacterial small subunit ribosomal RNA
Source: RNAcentral